AAAAAAUUAAAAAAAAACUCUAAAAAUGGCCUAGCCGCCCAGCGUGGGUGGCUUAGCCCAUGGCUAGCCGCCCAAGCUGGGCGGCUAGGCCCUUUUUUAUUUCUUUUUAAUUUUUU
Molecule: microRNA precursor, 116 nt
Filed under: Corchorus capsularis
Lineage: Eukaryota; Viridiplantae; Streptophyta; Magnoliopsida; Malvales; Malvaceae
Description: pre miRNA MIR811
Source: RNAcentral